This 253-nucleotide ribosomal RNA is filed under the name uncultured bacterium. Its description in RNAcentral is "partial 16S ribosomal RNA". It matches the Rfam family "Bacterial small subunit ribosomal RNA", at positions 524 to 776 of the family's 1533-position model. The record is from RNAcentral.
UACGGAGGGGGCGAGCGUUAUUCGGAAUUAUUGGGCGUAAAGGGCGCGUAGGCGGCCUGAUAAGUCAAAGGUGAAAUCCCUCGGCUCAACUGAGGAAUUGCCUUUGAAACUGUCAGGCUUGAGGCCGGGAGGGGGUGGCGGAAUUCCCAGUGUAGCGGUGAAAUGCGUAGAGAUCGGGAGGAACACCCGUGGCGAAGGCGGCCAACUGGGCCGACCCUGACGCUGAGGCGCGAAGGCGUGGGGAGCGAACGGG